RNAcentral lists this long non-coding RNA (1351 nucleotides) under Phasianus colchicus (ring-necked pheasant). Its description in RNAcentral is "lncRNA (ENSPCLG00000016691.1)". Lineage: Eukaryota; Metazoa; Chordata; Aves; Galliformes; Phasianidae. The record is from RNAcentral.
CGUGGCUUUAGUCUUCAUUGGGUUCUAUGCGGUUGGGCGGGGCUUAAGGAAGGGGGCGUGGCUUCAAGUCCCUUUGAGUUGCAUGGGGUGGGCGGGGCUUAAAGAAGGCCGGAAGUGGACGGGAACGAAUGAAUUGGGGGGAGUGGCUUCUGGACGGAAGUGAUCCAGGGGGCGUGGCUUAAAGCUCUCGAUCCCAUUGGUCGUUAUGUCAGUGGGCGUGGCUCUGAGACAGAGUAGGCGUGGCCAAAGCCCCCAUUUUCCGUAUGGGUUGGGCAGGCCGGAAGUGGGCAACAAUGGAUGAAUGAAUUAAUGAAUGAAGGGGCGUGGCUUCUGACCGGAAGUGAGCCAGGGGGCGUGGUCUAAAGGCCUCGACCCCAUUGGGCCUUUUGUCAGCUGAGGGAAAAGGGGGCGUGGCCAAAGUCCCAUUCUACGUAUCGGUCGGGCAGGCCGGAAGUGGGCGGGAACGAAUGAAUGAAGGGGCGUGGCUUCUGACCGGAAGUGAGCCCGGAGGCGUGGCUUAAAGGCCUCGGCCCCAUUGGGCUCUGAGGCAAAGUGGGCGUGGCCAAAACCCCCCCAUUCUGCCUACGGGGUGGAAGUGAGAGGGGAAUGAAUGAAGAAGGGGGAAGUUGGGGGCGUGGUUUCCGGCCGGAAGUUGGAGGUAACACCGGUCCCGCCCCCUUCCUUCCGUCAUGGCCGCAGUGUACGACGUGCUGACGGGCGCCACCGUGCGGAGGUUGGCUCAUCCCGGCGGCUGCGUCCGCGAUGUCUGCUGGCAUCCGGCCGGGGGGCGGCUCGUCAGCGCCUCGGUACGUCCUUGGGGAGGGACUUCCGGUUGGGAAAAGAGGGGGAGGGAAGACGGCUUCCGGUUUGGUGGGUUUGGGAUGGGACGAUUUCCGGUUUGGGGAAGUGGGAAAGAGGGACUUCCGGUUUGGGGGUUGGGGGGUGGAGACGACUUCCGGUUGAGGGUGUUGGAGGGUGGACUUCCGGUUUUGGGGUUGGGAAUGGGGACGACUUCCUGUUCGGGGGUGUGAGAGGGAGGGACUUCCGGUGUGUGUGUUGGGGGGAUGGGACGACUUCCGGUUUUCGGAGGUGUUGGAAGGGGGGACAUCCGGUUUGGGAGAGGAGUGGGGUGACUAUGGGGUGGUUAUGGGGCUCUGUGAGUCUCUAUGGGUCCCUAUGGGAUCUGUGGGUCUCUAUGGGGUUCUAUGGGAUCUGUGGGUCUCUAUGGGUUUCUAUGGGUCUCUAUGGGAUCUAUGGGGUCUAUGGGUCCCUAUGGGUCUCUGUGGGGCUCUAUGGGUCCCUAUGGGUCCCUAUGGGUCUCUGUGGGGCUCUAUGGGAUCUAUGGGGUCUA